AUUGAACGCUGGCGGCAGGCCUAACACAUGCAAGUCGAACGGCAACAGGAAGAUACCUGCUUCGUUGCUGACGAGUGGCGGACGGGUGAGUAAUAUCUGGGAAACUUCCUGAUGGAUGGGGAUUACUACUGGGAACGGUAGCUAAUACCUCAUUACUUCGCAGGACCAGAGACGGUGUAUUUCUGGCCUCUCGCCAUCGCGUGUGCCCCGAUGGGAUUAGUUAGUAGGUGGGGUAACGGAUCACCUAGCCGACCAUCCCUAGCUGGUCUGAGUGGAUGGCAAGACACGCUGGAAGUGAGACACGGUACAGACUCCUACGGUAGGCGGCGGUGGAGAAUAUUGCACAAUGGAAGGGAGCCAGAUCUAGCCAUGCCGCGUGUAGUGAGAGAGCCUUCGGGUUGUAGAGUACUUUCAGCGGGGAGGAAGGGAGUAACGGUAAUAUCUUAGCUAAUUGACGUUACCCGAAGAAGAAGCACCGGCUAACUCCGUG
RNAcentral lists this ribosomal RNA (490 nucleotides) under uncultured bacterium. Its description in RNAcentral is "partial 16S ribosomal RNA". It matches the Rfam family "Bacterial small subunit ribosomal RNA", at positions 30 to 507 of the family's 1533-position model. The record is from RNAcentral.